UGGGGAAUUUUGGACAAUGGGCGAAAGCCUGAUCCAGCAAUGCCGCGUGUGUGAAGAAGGCCUUCGGGUUGUAAAGCACUUUUGUCCGGAAAGAAAUCCUUGGCUCUAAUACAGUCGGGGGAUGACGGUACCGGAAGAAUAAGCACCGGCUAACUACGUGCCAGCAGCCGCGGUAAUACGUAGGGUGCAAGCGUUAAUCGGAAUUACUGGGCGUAAAGCGUGCGCAGGCGGUUUGCUAAGACCGAUGUGAAAUCCCCGGGCUCAACCUGGGAACUGCAUUGGUGACUGGCAGGCUAGAGUAUGGCAGAGGGGGGUAGAAUUCCACGUGUAGCAGUGAAAUGCGUAGAGAUGUGGAGGAAUACCGAUGGCGAAGGCAGCCCCCUGGGCCAAUACUGACGCUCAUGCACGAAAGCGUGGGGAGCAAACAGGAUUAGAUACCCUGGUAGUCCACGCCCUAAACGAUGUCAACUAGUUGUUGGGGAUUCAUUUCCUUAGUAACGUAGCUAACGCGUGAAGUUGACCGCCUGGGGAGUACGGUCGCAAGAUUAAAACUCAAGGAAUUGACGGGGUCUAGCUGUUUCCU
This 583-nucleotide ribosomal RNA is filed under the name uncultured bacterium. RNAcentral describes it as "partial 16S ribosomal RNA". It matches the Rfam family "Bacterial small subunit ribosomal RNA", at positions 355 to 932 of the family's 1533-position model. The record is from RNAcentral.